RNAcentral lists this long non-coding RNA (2951 nucleotides) under Zea mays. Its description in RNAcentral is "long non-coding RNA (ZMAY_LNC004930)". Lineage: Eukaryota; Viridiplantae; Streptophyta; Magnoliopsida; Poales; Poaceae. The record is from RNAcentral.
ACCGAACUUUUUGUGCCCACUGAAGUUGCUGAUUCCUUCCUUAGCCCAUCGUUGGACUAGCUGCCCAUGUGUCACACCCGCGUUUUAGGGACCCAGACGCGAAGGCAAUCACCAGGUGUGCUGAGACCAAGUCUCACACAUAUGAUGAAUCAUGGUACAGAAACGAAUGUCACAUAUUUACUAUAUAAAAGGAGUUCUGUACAAAAUAAAUAAAUAUUUAUAUUACAUGAAGACAACGAUCCAGUAACCCAAAGCUGACUGGGAGACGACGACCUAGACCUCUCACGAACUCAUCACGUCAUCCUCCCUGCGCCUCAUCCUGUGGUACCUGUUCUUGACCUGUGUGGGGGUGUGAGACAGCAAGGGUGAGCUCACACACGUUCAUCGAUCAACAUGUUGUGGGGAAUAAUGUGCAUGAACUCGCCAAAGGUGGGAGCCCAUGUGAAGUGUAAGGCUUACCAAAGAGGAUGGUUAAAGCUGAGCAUUGCUUUUAAAGUUGGUCAAAAUUUUAUUAGCAGUUACUAAGUAUAAGUAGAUACCAAACCAGAGUAAUAAUAGAUCAAAAUUGAUAACAACACCCGCGAUGCAAUGCAUAUGACAAAUUGAAUUUAGUUCUAUAAAUUAAUCAUGCGAGAGUCCUGAGCUGCUCAUGACCGCGAGCACGGCUAGUAUACCAGUUUUACACUCUGCAGAGGUUGUACCUUGUACCCACAAGUCGUGUAUCCCAUGUUGCCAGGGUUAGCUAGACCCUUAGACACUACCGAGGUGAAUGGCUAGGGAUCCACUACGAGGCCUUUACAAAGUUCCACUAGCUUCAGAAAACCCGCUAUAGUUUUUAUGAAGAGCAAUGCAGGAAUCCCCCGUCUGACCGCCAUCGCAGCAAAAUCAACCCGGGAACCCCCCUACACGCCUACUCUCCUACUGCCUUUGCCCCUAUCGGGUAAGGUAGUCCUCCACUAGCUUUCAUAGUUAGUUAGCCAAGGGCGUCCCAUUCCACCCUUGUGGUGGCACAUGUUUCUCAAGUUAAGCUCCAUGUCCCAAUUAAAAAUAAUGAUCUUGACAUGAAUAAUAAAUAAAGUAACAGUAUAAUUGGAACAUGAACAUAAUGUAAUAUUAAACCCAAAACCAUAUAGAGCAAUAGCAAAACUACCCAAAUAAUUCAGGGGUGAACAAGGUAAAAAGAUAAUCAGACUAGGGUGACCUAUUGGGUCCCAUCAAAAUUAAACCUAUACAUUAAUAAAUGAUUAUAAAGAACAUUAUUGAGUAAUAAAAGUGGUCAAGGACACAACUCGUCUAGGACUUGAGAUUCCAGGUACCAACUUGCUCUUUAGGUGACUCGUGUCCUCACUGCUAAACGUAGCAAUAUAAACAUAGUAUAGGAAAAAUUAACACCACACCAAACAUAAGAACAAACUGCGUAAUAAUGAUAUACGCGUCACUACGAGAUUGUGGGUUCGUGAACCACUAAGUUCGGAGUUACGGUUAAGGAGUUGUGAUUUAUGGUAGAUCUAUGUGGUUUAAAUAUUAAAUUAUAUUAUAAAUUGGUUAGUGUAUAUCAUAUGAGAGACUAUUUUAUAAAUAAUUAACUCAACUUUAAUCUAAGUCAUUACUUGAUUAAAGACCAUCUUUUAGUCAAAUUAUAACCAUAAGACCAGAAUGUUAUAUUAACAAAGCUAAUUCCAAUAAACAUAGAUUAAUCUAUUUAGUCACUUAAUUAUAAAAGUAUGUGAUAUCGUAUAAUUAAUGUUGUUACUGCAUAGUAAAUAUUUAUACGAAGCUAACGCAACUGGAACGGAUCAAUUCGGAAUUAAAACGGAGGAGUUAUGAAUUUCCGAAGUUUUAAGUGUUGGAUAAAAAGAAAUUAAGUGCAUAAUUUAUUUAAUCUAAGUUUCAUACCAAACUAAGGUUACCAGAUGAUAAACCAUAUUAAUGUGAGACUAAUGCAUCUGGAAUGGAUCAAAAAUGAGUUAAAAUGAAUUAAACAAGUUUCUGAAAUUAUUUCUAUACUAAAAAUUAUUUUCUAUAUUAAUUUAUCUCAUUUUAUUUACUAUAUGGGCUGUGGGCACUGUUCUGGAGUUCCCCAGGGUUAAAACCGCAAAAUUCAGGGCCUAAGUUAAAUUACUUUUACACAGUAGUGGACCGCGGGUUGAAUACUUCAACGGACAGGGGUUCUUCUGUCAGAUGGCGCAACCGAAGAGGUAUAAAGCAUCCAGGGUCGUUGGAUCACCAGCCGAGGGCUCAGAUUAGAUCUGCCCAUAAUGUGAAUCGGUACCCAAAGCGAGUCAUCGAAUCAGACUUCAACGGACCGGAUUUAAAGUUACCCACAUCGAGCACAAGCGCUAGAUCUAGAUCGGACGAACCAGAUUGGUUCAAUCGAACCGGUACGGGUGGACUAAUCCUAGCCUCCCACUCCGAGAUCUACGACCCAGGACUCAUCGGCGAAGGGGAUACACUAGAUUACAUCUAGACCACCGAUCCAGAAAUCGAUGACAUAGUUUCACUCGACGCAUCGAUAUGGAUGGAUUCAAUCUUAACCGUUGACUCAUGGAUCUAGGGCCCUGGCUUGUUCUUCCUCGCCGCAAUGCUAGUAGCGGCGGCGAGCACACCCACGCUCAGCCCGCCAGCGAUCAAGGGCCCCAGUCCGACUGUCGCUGCGCGAGAUAGGGGUGGAGAUAAAAUCGAACAGGAUAGGGGGUGGUUACCGCAAGCAGGAGCGAAAGCGAGACCACCGACGGCGCAGUCUAGCUCCGGAUUCCAACAAUGGCGGCUCCCAGUUCUCCAUUCGAUGCGCACUACCCUGCCCCCAGGCGGCAAUGGCCCCCAGGCGCGCGAGAGAUGGAUGAGGAAGGGGCGCUCGGCUUGUAUAAAUACCCCGAGAUGGAGCCCAGCCAAGGAGAGAUCGGUCGGAAGGAUGCUUUAUUCACAGGUUCAGUUCGCAACUAACCCCGUGC